RNAcentral lists this ribosomal RNA (530 nucleotides) under uncultured bacterium. Its description in RNAcentral is "bacterial SSU rRNA". It matches the Rfam family "Bacterial small subunit ribosomal RNA", at positions 777 to 1304 of the family's 1533-position model. The record is from RNAcentral.
AAUAGAUACCCAGGUAGUCCACGCCGUAAACGGUGGGUACUAGGUGUGGGUUUCCUUCCUUGGGAUCCGUGCCGUAGCUAACGCAUUAAGUACCCCGCCUGGGGAGUACGGCCGCAAGGCUAAAACUCAAAGGAAUUGACGGGGGGCCCGCACAAGCGGCGGAGCAUGUGGAUUAAUUCGAUGCAACGCGAAGAACCUUACCUGGGUUUGACAUGCACAGGACGCCGGCAGAGAUGUCGGUUCCCUUGUGGCCUGUGUGCAGGUGGUGCAUGGCUGUCGUCAGCUCGUGUCGUGAGAUGUUGGGUUAAGUCCCGCAACGAGCGCAACCCUUGUCUCAUGUUGCCAGCACGUUAUGGUGGGGACUCGUGAGAGACUGCCGGGGUCAACUCGGAGGAAGGUGGGGAUGACGUCAAGUCAUCAUGCCCCUUAUGUCCAGGGCUUCACACAUGCUACAAUGGCCGGUACAAAGGGCUGCGAUGCCGUGAGGUGGAGCGAAUCCUUUCAAAGCCGGUCUCAGUUCGGAUCGGGGU